CGAAAAUGUUGUGAACGAAGCUGAAAUUGGCAUUUUUAUGCACCUAAUUUCAAGCCGAAUUAUCACCAGAGCAUGCAGCGUUUUCGGCCAGCACGAAGGCGGCAACAUAUAGAGGGUUGCUGCACUGUAUAAUUGUAAUCAUCGCUGACUGGCUGUUGGCAGAGUAUUUGAUGCGUGCACGUGUAUGGAUCCGUUCCUUCCUCAUGUUAACGUCUCAAUCAAGCAUCGUCAUCAAAACUUUGCGUAGAAGAGUGUUUGUCAGCGGUGUCGGUCAUCCUCUGGGAUCCUCUUUCUGUUAUUACUGAAGCUCAAUUCCCAAUACAUGAACUGCUUUCCACAAUGCGCAAGAUGCAACACCUGCGAUGAGCUGCAAUCGCGACAGACGAUUCACAAUCUGUUUUGUGUCUGCGGCAUCUAAGUGCAGUGCGUAGUACCCUCACGUGCACCCAGCCUAGUGAACUGCACUCCAUUUGUGUACAACGCGCUUGGCAAGAGUUAUGCUUUUGCCAACUUCUGGGACAGUGGCCCUACAACUGCUUGCGACAGUGCGCGACAGGCAUUUCCUCGCCGCAAGUGUUACAUCGCAGAAAGUGAUAUGUAAUUGUGAA
Molecule: long non-coding RNA, 608 nt
Organism: Sycon ciliatum
Lineage: Eukaryota; Metazoa; Porifera; Calcarea; Leucosolenida; Sycettidae
Exons: 3
Source: RefSeq, a predicted model, not a curated record